GCAAGUCGAACGAGAAAGGUACCUUCGGGUACUGAUUAAAGUGGCGGACGGGUGAGUAACACGUGAAUAACGUACCUUCGAGCGGGGGACAACCAUUGGAAACGAUGGCUAAUACCGCAUAAGACCACACUCCUUUCGGGGAGAGGGGUCAAAGGCUUCGGCCACUCGGAGAUCGGUUCGCGGCCCAUUAGUUAGUAGGUGGGGUAAUGGCUCACCUAGACUGAGAUGGGUAGCUGGUCUGAGAGGAUGAUC
This 252-nucleotide ribosomal RNA is filed under the name uncultured bacterium. Its description in RNAcentral is "partial 16S ribosomal RNA". It matches the Rfam family "Bacterial small subunit ribosomal RNA", at positions 57 to 305 of the family's 1533-position model. The record is from RNAcentral.